Molecule: transfer RNA, 74 nt
Filed under: Bacteroidia bacterium
Lineage: Bacteria; Pseudomonadati; Bacteroidota; Bacteroidia
Description: tRNA-Arg
Rfam family: tRNA
About the family: Transfer RNA (tRNA) molecules are approximately 80 nucleotides in length. Their secondary structure includes four short double-helical elements and three loops (D, anti-codon, and T loops). Further hydrogen bonds mediate the characteristic L-shaped molecular structure. tRNAs have two regions of fundamental functional importance: the anti-codon, which is responsible for specific mRNA codon recognition, and the 3' end, to which the tRNAs corresponding amino acid is attached (by aminoacyl-tRNA synthetases). tRNAs cope with the degeneracy of the genetic code in two manners: having more than one tRNA (with a specific anti-codon) for a particular amino acid; and 'wobble' base-pairing, i.e. permitting non-standard base-pairing at the 3rd anti-codon position.
Source: RNAcentral
GGCCUCGUAGCUUAACUGAAUAGAGCAUCUGACUUCGGAUCAGAAGGUUGUGGGUUUGAAUCCCGCCGGGGUCA